UACGAAGGGGGCUAGCGUUGCUCGGAAUCACUGGGCGUAAAGCGCACGUAGGCGGAUUGUUAAGUCAGGGGUGAAAUCCUGGAGCUCAACUCCGGAACUGCCUUUGAUACUGGCGAUCUCGAGUCCGGGAGAGGUGAGUGGAACUGCGAGUGUAGAGGUGAAAUUCGUAGAUAUUCGCAAGAACACCAGUGGCGAAGGCGGCUCACUGGCCCGGUACUGACGCUGAGGUGCGAAAGCGUGGGGAGCAAACAGG
This 253-nucleotide ribosomal RNA is filed under the name uncultured bacterium. Its description in RNAcentral is "partial 16S ribosomal RNA". It matches the Rfam family "Bacterial small subunit ribosomal RNA", at positions 524 to 776 of the family's 1533-position model. The record is from RNAcentral.